AUGCGAUGUGACACUGAAACCCUGGACACUGUGGGCAACAAUGAGACUGAAACCCUGGACACUGUGGGCAACAAUGAGACUGAAACCCUGGACACUGUGGGCAACGAUGAACCUCCUGGAGAUGAGGAGCCUCCUUGUAUGAAUGCAAUACUAAAACAUUUUAAGGAAAACCUUUGUAGCUUUGUCCUCAAGUGUAGAGAAAAGAACCACAUUCCAAUUUCAGUCCAACAAGAAAUUAUAAAUGACAUGAUCUUUUUAUUUUGUUAUUUUAAAGAAAACUAUGACUCUUUUAUCAGUUACCAUCUUCAACAAAGUGGAUUCAAUGUUUUGGAGUGUCCUAAGUUUCAAGAGAUUUUACAAUCUAAUGACUUUUUUGAAAAAGCAACAGAAGCUAUUCGUUCACCAUACAUGCUCAAAGAACAUUGCAAGUCAAAAAUGCAUUUGGUUGAGCCGGUUCAUCAAAACUUAAGGUCUGAAACGGGUCAGAAAAUAGGGACUUAUUCAUAUGUCCCUAUCAGAGAUGUUUUAAGCAAUUAUUGUUCACAUGAGGACAUUGACGAGGACAUUGAGGUCACAGAACAAUCGAACAGCAAUCCUGAUUGUUUAAGUGACUAUACAGAUGGAACUCACUUCAAAAACCAUCCUUUUUUCAGAGAUAAUCCAGAUGCCCUGCGUCUUCAUUUCUACGAAGAUGAAUUCGAAGUAGUCAAUCCCUUGGGAUCAAAACAAACCAAGCACAAGCUGUGCGCUUUCUAUUAUACUGUAGGCAACAUAAAUGGUAGACAUCGAUCUAAACUGAAGCAUAUCCAUCUUGCUCUUUUAGUCCGUUACAGUUAUGUCAAACAGUGUGGUUUAAAAAACAUCCUUAAACCCAUGAUAAAUGAUCUUAAAAGACUUGAAACAGAAGGUAUCAAUGUCAAAGUGAGUGGCAUUGAAAAGACUGUAUAUGCUGGACUUGCAACAAUUUCAGCUGAUAAUCUAUCAGCUCACAUGUUGGGGGGUUUUACAAUGUCGUUCAGCAGUCACAGAAUUUGCCGCUUUUGCAUGGCUUCCUAUACAGACAUGAAGAAAAACUUUAAUGAAGAAGAUUUUGUCCUUAUAACUUCAGAAACACACCACUAUCACCUUAUGGCAUGUACCGAAAACCCAGAUCUUAAAACCACUUAUGGAGUAACGGGACCGUGUCCGUUUGCUGAACUUAAGUACUUUGACGCCACUACUGCUUUUCCUCCGGACAUAAUGCAUGACACAUUAGAAGGGGUUGUUCCUGCCAUACUGAAGUUAGUUGUUUGUCAAGCACACAAAGAAAAGCACAUUACCAUAACAGAAAUUAACAACGAGCUUCAGCAGUUGGCAAUUGGCCAAAACGAUGUGAAAAAUAAACCAGUUCAACUAUCAGAGCGAUUGUUGCAAAAAGCGCAAGUAUCUGGGUCAGCAGCUCAAAAGUGGUGCCUUUUUAGACUUUUACCAUUUAUAAUGGCACCUCAUGUACCCCCAAACUGCUGCUACUGGAAUGUGUAUUUGAUUUGUCGUGAAAUUGUUGACAUUAUAUUUGCAUCAAAAGUAAACCGUGAACAUUUGUCUUGUUUGAACUUGCUUGUUGUUGAGUUUCUAGAAAAACUGAAAGAAUUUGAUAUUGUGACUCCAAAGUUUCAUUACUUGAUACAUUAUUCGAGGCUGAUUGACAUGUAUGGACCUUUACGUGCAUUGUGGUGCAUGCGCUUUGAGUCGAAGCACCAGUACUUCAAACUUGUUGCAAGUUCUUCAAGAAACUUUAUAAAUAUAGCAAAAACUUUAAGUGAUAGGCAUCAGAUGUACAAGUGCUGGGAAUUUUCUCCGGAAAAUAUUCUGAAUGAAUUUGAGGAAGUGACAGGGACAAGUGCUGACACUUUAUUUUCGUCACUCCCAUCUGACCUGCAAAGAUGCAUUGCAUCUGUAUGUGGAAUUGACUACACCAUCUCACCACCCACAAAUAUGCAGCGUGUGUCAGGAGUAGUCAUUGACUGUGUCAAAUAUGCCUGCAAAGAUGUAUUUAUAGUUGACUAUUUGCAUACUGAAAUGAUUCCUCUGUUUUUCUUGAUCCAAUUUGUUUUCAAUAUUGAUACGCAAUGGCUAUUGUGUGGCAAACUGCUCGUUCCAAAGGCUUAUAAUGUACAUUUACAUGCGUAUGCACUUCAACAGGACUCAGAUUGGACUGUAAUACAGCCAGGACACGUAAUGGACUUUCAGCCUCUUGACAUUUACAAUAUUGAUGGUAUUUUGUACAUAACAUUAAGAAAUGUUUAA
RNAcentral lists this long non-coding RNA (2286 nucleotides) under Gouania willdenowi (blunt-snouted clingfish). RNAcentral describes it as "lncRNA (ENSGWIG00000005387.1)". Lineage: Eukaryota; Metazoa; Chordata; Actinopteri; Blenniiformes; Gobiesocidae. The record is from RNAcentral.